This 374-nucleotide ribosomal RNA is filed under the name uncultured prokaryote. RNAcentral's name for it is "bacterial SSU rRNA". It matches the Rfam family "Bacterial small subunit ribosomal RNA", at positions 524 to 896 of the family's 1533-position model. The record is from RNAcentral.
UACGUAGGAAGCGAGCGUUAUCCGGAUUUACUGGGCGUAAAGAGCGCGUAGGUGGUUCCAUAAGUUGGACGUGAAAGCCCCCGGCUUAACUGGGGAGGGUCGUUCAAUACUGCGGAACUUGAGGGUGGAAGAGGAAACUGGAAUUCCCGGUGUAGUGGUGAAAUGCGUAGAUAUCGGGAGGAACACCUGUGGCGAAGGCGAGUUUCUAGGCCACUUCUGACACUGAGGCGCGAAAGCGUGGGGAGCGAACGGAAUUAGAUACUCCGGUAGUCCACGCCCUAAACGAUGGACACUAGGUGUGGUGGGUAUCGACCCCUGCCGUGCCGUAGUCAACACAAUAAGUGUCCCGCCUGGGGACUACGAGCGCAAGCUUA